UAUAUAUGUCGGAUAAGGCACAUACGUGCGAAACCACUCACUUGAAUCCAAUCUCCUCAGCAGUAACUUGGAAGCAUUAUCCAUGGCGGAAUCCGCUUGCCUGCGUCUCGUCUCUUCAAAUCUCUUGAAGACGAAGAGACCCUUUGGAGCGAAGGCGAAGCCCAUCGAUUCGCUACGACCCCGAUUGCCUCCCAUUGCUUGUUCCUCGAGAAAACAAGACUCUUCCUCGAUAGGUAAUGGAGGAGGCUGUAGAGCUAAGCGUUUGAUAACGUUAUCUCCGAGUGAGGGAAGAUGGCAUGGCAAUUGGAAUUCGCAAUACAAUGUCUCCCUUCGAGAUCUUUGCCUCGAAGAUCUCGUCGAAGACGGCCCUACGAAUGCCCGUGUCUCCAUCCACCUCUCAGUCCAAAGGCAUGCGAGCUUGGGCCUCUCGGUAGAAGGCAGAGUUGUCACAUCUUUUUCCAGAAAGUGCAGCAUUUGCUCCUCUCCUUAUAACCGACGAAUCGACACGAAUUUCACGGUCUGGAUCCUGCCAUCGAGCAGGGAGAGCCGAGCUUCUCAACUUCCGGAAAUCGGUGGCGAUGAUCCUUCGGUCAUAUACGUGAGGCCAGGCUAUGAAGCUAACCUUGAUUCCCUUAUACAGGACACUAUCCGCCUUACGACUUAUGCCAAUGUUCGAGUUCGGGUUUUGGUGGACGAGUACCUAUAUUCGUGGGUACUCUAAACCCAGGGGGAAAGGGCGAGACGAAGCUGCGAGGGGACGCAGGGCUGGAGAUGGUGGGCGGUUCAAAGAGAGAGGAGGAGGCGGCUAGAAGGCGAUGACCUUGCCGCUCGGGUUUAAUCGUUUCAAAUUAGGGAUUCUUGAAUCAGGAUUUCGUGUCUUAAAGGGGAAAAACAGAGUUUUCACAUCCUCGGCCCCGUCCUCGCCGGUCGUUGCUUGCGGUCCGCGUUUUCGGGAUGCGUGCUCGGAUGCAUGCGAACAAUCAGAACCGACAAUGCAGUACAUUGGAGAGACAAAUACAGCUUCUGUUGAUAAAAGAUGGUCCAGA
RNA transcript from Tarenaya hassleriana, 1046 nucleotides. RefSeq lists it as uncharacterized. NCBI's taxonomy places the organism in Eukaryota, Viridiplantae, Streptophyta, Magnoliopsida, Brassicales, Cleomaceae. The transcript is spliced from 8 exons. The record is from RefSeq and is a predicted model, not a curated record.